RNAcentral lists this ribosomal RNA (318 nucleotides) under Bacillus velezensis. RNAcentral's name for it is "bacterial SSU rRNA". It matches the Rfam family "Bacterial small subunit ribosomal RNA", at positions 874 to 1193 of the family's 1533-position model. The record is from RNAcentral. Lineage: Bacteria; Bacillati; Bacillota; Bacilli; Caryophanales; Bacillaceae.
UGGGGAGUACGGUCGCAAGACUGAAACUCAAAGGAAUUGACGGGGGCCCGCACAAGCGGUGGAGCAUGUGGUUUAAUUCGAAGCAACGCGAAGAACCUUACCAGGUCUUGACAUCCUCUGACAAGCCUAGAGAUAGGACGUCCCCUUCGGGGGCAGAGUGACAGGUGGUGCAUGGUUGUCGUCAGCUCGUGUCGUGAGAUGUUGGGUUAAGUCCCGCAACGAGCGCAACCCUUGAUCUUAGUUGCCAGCAUUCAGUUGGGCACUCUAAGGUGACUGCCGGUGACAAACCGGAGGAAGGUGGGGAUGACGUCAAAUCAU